GUUUUUUAUAUAUUUUUUGCAAGUCUGAAAAAAUGAAAUUAAGUCAUUCAGUGUUAGCCAACAACAGCUCAUAUAAAUCAGAGUCUCAGUUUCUUCAGAUUGGCUUAUGAAGGAAGAAGCUGCAUGAAGUUAUUGAGCUGCCAUGUUUCCUAAUUCUUUAACUUCUUCCUGCAGGAUCACAGCAGCAGAUAUAGCCUCAAACGUAAUGAUCACAAAGAGAGUGAGAAGAGCAAAAUAGAAAUGGCACACUGCAGUGAGUAAGUGUGAUUCAUUCAGAUCUCAUCUACGUCUCACAGCAGAAGAGCAACGAGACCCGCAGAUACCUGAAAACAGUAAACGGUGGCAUGGACUGCUGUCUGUAAAUCCUCCGACACAUUAAUGAUCGCUCAGACCACUUCAAUGUGAUGCUAAACAGUUUAAGUGGAAGUAAUUAUCUUGUUUCUGUCCGUUUGUUUGGCUCGAGGGCCGCCCGGAUAGACUGACUCCCUGAUAAGAUCACAGCCCGUUAGACUCUCAGUGAUGAGUAAUGAACAGUGCUUUCUGAGUAAAUAUCCACACGGACGCUUCAGACGCUCUCGGCUGUUUGAUUCACAUCAGCCGCGUUCACACUGCAGCUAAAUACAGUCCUCACUCCUGUUUUGAGUGCUUAAAUAUGUUUUGAGUUUUUGUUGCAGGAGCUAGUGACAUCUGAGUUCACAUUAAAUCUGUCUGGUGUUAACAGAGAAUCACAUUCCAUUUUAAGCAUUGCAUAUUUACAUUUGCAUAUAAACUUCUUUUCUCUCUCUUCUUUUCAGCUUUGUUGCAGCACAUGACACAUCACAUUGUUGUCACUGUGACCCAGAAGUUGACAGCUCUCAUUGAAAACAUCUCUCUUCUUCUGAAGAUGGAGUGUCUGCUGUCUUUGAAAGUAUAAGUAACGUAAUUUGCCCAUGGCUUCACGUGAAAGUCCUUCACCAGCUGUGUGACUGCCAUUGAGAAGAAUGCAAAUGCUAACAGAUGGAUGCUUUCUCCAGCCUCCAGAUCCAGUCUGUAUCCAGAUCAGAUGGUGGAUCAACACUUAGAGACGACCUCUACAGCCCUGAAUGUCAGCGGAGACCACGUCAACUAUAUGAGCUCCAGAGACAGAUCCCCUGCGAAGACCUCAUCACCUCGACAUCCAUCGGCACAAGACCACAGGAACCAGACAAAACCUCUGCACCUUUGUUGCAGCCUGGAAUUAAACCUAUAGACUGUAUAAAACAUGGACGUAGUUUCUGAAGAGCAUUUUUAAGCUUAAAGUGGGCUGAGGUGGCGCCGCCAUCUUGGCAGCGUAUCACCGCGGAUAAUCGAAAAUGGGCAAAGAGGCAGAGCGUGGGUGGAGCUGGUUGCUGAAACCACACCCGCCUAGCUCGACAGUGGUGACAGCAGCGGCAAUCCACCUGUCACUCAAGUGGCCACGCCACUAUAUUAAGCAGAACUUUAAGGCUUAAUAUAAUUUAAAUGGAUGAGUUAUAAAAAAAAUCACCCCCCUCACCGUUGUCAUGAAGGGCAAAAUUAGCUAUAUAGACCAAAACCACUUUUUGCACCAGGCUGUAAACAUAUUUUUUACUGCUGUAAAGUUGGACAUUUUAACAUGAGGGCUCUUUGGGAUUGACUCCCCUUUGGAGCCAGCCUCUAGCAAUAAAUUGCAGUUUAAGUCACUUCCGUGUUGGUUUCAAGAGAGACUGGAAGGUUGCCGCUUGAUUAAACCACGCCAUGCUGGUGUCGUCUGGCCCCCCAACUGAGCCUGGUUUCUCCCAAGGUUUUUUUUUUCUCCAUUUCUGUCACCGAUGGAGUUUUGGUUCCUUGCCACUGUCGCCUUUUGCUUGCUUAGUUGGGGAUGCUUGACUGAUUGCACAGACACUAUUGGAAGAGAGCUGAACUGGAUGAUGACAUCACUGAAUCAUCAAUGAACUGACUUUAGCAGGAAAAAUGACUGUUUGUUAUUGUCCUCUUGUAUUAUUGACAAACUAUUUUCCUGUUUGACACUGUAAAGCUGCUUUGACACAACCAGUAUUGUAUAAAGGUGACUUGACCUGUUUUGUGCAUGUUGGCGUGUGUUUGUGUGUAAAUGUUGGUUGUUUUGUGCUUGCGCAGCACGUUAGCGUGUGCAAAGGUGUGUGGGUCACCGCAGCCCUCUGGGGUUAAGGCCUGAUUUCUUCUGCAUACAUCAGCAGGUUACAUCAGAGGAAAUUACAGCAGCGCUCAGUGAAAGGGCUAAUCGAAAUUCACCUAUAGACAAACACACACACACACACACACACACACACACACACACACACACACACACACACACACACACACACACACACACACACACACACACACACACACAAACCUGUACUUCCUGAGAGGAGGUAAAUGCAGCUUCUUCUGAUUUCAGACACAGUCAGAAUGUGUGAGUCUAGCAUGAGAAAAUGAUUAUGUAGCAGAACUGGACGCAAAGCUCUGUGAACAAGUGCUGUUAUCCCCCGCUAAGAAGAACGACAAGAAAGAGAAGAGAGGAAGUAAAAAUCAAUGGAAGAGAGAGACAGAGAGAGAAUUUCCUCUGCUAAUUAAGAAAACCUCAUUCACCAUAAAUCACGCAGCAGAACACGGACUGAACAGCAAGCCUCAGUCUCUCCAGUUUCAUAUCAGACUGUUCUCUGUUUGCUAAUAAUAGGCAAAUGCAAUAAUGUACAAAAUGACUCUAACAUAAAAGGAGGAAUAAAGUAUGCUUAAAUAAUAAUCUCUUGUGUUA
Long non-coding RNA from Cyprinus carpio carpio, 2758 nucleotides. NCBI's taxonomy places the organism in Eukaryota, Metazoa, Chordata, Actinopteri, Cypriniformes, Cyprinidae. The record is from Ensembl.